RNAcentral lists this ribosomal RNA (497 nucleotides) under uncultured bacterium. RNAcentral's name for it is "partial 16S ribosomal RNA". It matches the Rfam family "Bacterial small subunit ribosomal RNA", at positions 28 to 507 of the family's 1533-position model. The record is from RNAcentral.
GAUGAACGCUGGCGGCGUGCCUAAUACAUGCCAGUCGAGCGAACGGACGAGAAGCUUGCUUUUCUGAUGUUAGCGGCGGACGGGUGAGUCACACGUGGAUAACCUACCUAUAAGACUGGGAUAACUUCGGGAAACCGGAGCUAAUACCGGAUAAUAUUUUGAACCGCAUGGGUCAAAAGUGAAAGACGGUCUUUCUGUCACUUAUAGAUGGAUCCGCGCUGCAUUAGCUAGUUGGUAAGGUAACGGCUUAACAAGGCGACGAUGCAUAGACGACCUGAGAGCGUGGUAGCCCACCCUGGAAGUGAGCCACGGUCCAGACUCCGACGGUAGGCCGCAGUAGGGAAUCUUACGCAAUGGGCGAGAGCCUGACGGAGCAACGCGGCGUGAGUGAUGAAGGUCUUCGGAUCGGAAAGCUCUGUUAUUAGGGAAGAACAUAUGUGUAAUUACCCGUGCACAUCUUGACGGUACCGAAUCAAAAAGCUACGGCUAACUACGUG